Bombus impatiens (common eastern bumble bee) is the source of this 1823-nucleotide RNA transcript. It is a transcript of the gene named 3-hydroxyisobutyryl-CoA hydrolase, mitochondrial, with no coding region annotated. The record is from RefSeq and is a predicted model, not a curated record. Lineage: Eukaryota; Metazoa; Arthropoda; Insecta; Hymenoptera; Apidae. The transcript has 9 exons.
GUAAUAUAACUUUCAAUUUAACUACAAUGUAUAAAUUAUGUUUUAUAUGCUGUCAACGUAUUUUACGCUUAUUACAUAAUAUCUCGAGUGAUUUCAAAAUGACAACUAUCAUUAUGUUACGCGUAUGGGUGAAAAAAAACAAGAAUAUCAACAUACUAAUUUAAAGAUAUUCCAUAACCUGUGUGAUUAAACAUUCCUUAAUGUACUUACUGGAUACGUUUGUGCUGUAAUAUUUUACAUUAUUUGUACUAAUAUUUUGUAUUUUAUUAUUAAUUUGUACAAAAUAGAUAAUAAACAGCCAAAAUGAUAAAAAGUGGUACAUUAAAACUAAAUUGCGUAGCUGGUAAUUCAAUUAAUAAACUUAGGUAUUUAUCAGCACAAGGUUCUGGUACAGGUAAGGACAUGGGUUUAAAAUUUGACAAUCACAAUCCAAAGCCUAUUAUAUUACCACCUGAAACAAUGCCAUCGACACCAUAUCCAACUCCUGUGGUAGAAAUACCAGGCCCUAUAGUUGAACCUACACUUCCUCAGUCGAUACCUCAACCUCAACCUCAACCAGAUUCUAAACCGCCUACUGAAAUUCCAAUGCCUAAUAAAACUACAAUUGCAGCCAAGAAAGUACAACAAAACAUAGAAGAUGAUGUCUUGUUUGAAGAUGUGGGAAACAAAGGUGUUAUCAUAUUAAAUCGUCCAAAAGCACUGAAUGCCUUAAAUUUGUCAAUGGUUGAAAAAAUAUACCCGGUACUUAAAAAAUGGGAAUCAUCUAAAAGAUUAGUAAUAAUAGAAGGUGCGGGAGAGAAAGCAUUUUGUGCAGGUGGUGAUGUGAAAUCUAUCGUUAAUACAUUAAGAGAAACUGAGAAUAAAAUCUUAGGUGAAACAUUUUUCAGAAAGGAGUAUACUUUAAAUUACCUCAUUGGUAGAUAUAAAAUACCAUAUGUGGCUACAAUAGAUGGAAUAACUAUGGGUGGCGGUGUUGGAUUAUCUGUUCACGGUAAAUAUCGGAUUGCAACAGAGAAAACAUUAUUUGCAAUGCCAGAAACAGCAAUUGGAUUAUUUCCUGAUGUUGGUGGGACUUUUUUUUUACCUAGGUUGAAAGGUAAAUUGGGUCUUUAUCUUGGAUUAACUGGAGAUCGAUUAAAAGGCAUUGAUGUAGUACUUGCUGGCAUUGCGACGCAUUUCAUUCCUUCCGAAAAGUUACCAUAUUUAAAACAAGAUCUAUUAACAACUGAACAAUCUGAUGUUAAGGAAGUCUUAAACAAGUAUCAAUGUAUAAAAUUCAAUCAAGAAUUCAGUUUAGCACCAUAUAUGAAUAAAAUUGAUACAUAUUUUGCUGCAUCAUCUGUAGAAGAAAUAAUACAAAGAUUAAAAGAGGAUAAUUCAGAAUGGGCCAAAAAUACAUUGCAAAUGUUAUUAAAAGCAUCUCCUACUUCUCUAAAAGUCACUAUGCGUGCUAUUCAAAGAGGGAGCACAUUAAAUCUGUCAGACUGUUUAAAAAUGGAAUAUAGAUUAGCGUGUACUGCUUUGAGCAGAACAAGCGAUUUUUGUGAAGGUGUAAGAGCUCUUUUAAUCGAUAAAGAUCAGAAACCAAUAUGGAAUCCUAACAGUUUAAAAGAAGUAACAGAUGCUUAUGUAGAUCAACAAUUUACAAAACUUCUAGAAGAAAAAGAAUUGCAGCUUUGAAACUGAUCAGAAUAUUAAGGAAAUGACACAAUAAAUGAAUAUUAUAUAAAAUAUAACUCGCGCGCGCGUUCGCACACAGACAGACACAAAGUACACAUUAUGUAUGAAAAAUAAUGAACAAAAUAUAUAAGUGUUUAUAAUUA